Molecule: long non-coding RNA, 3195 nt
Filed under: Oncorhynchus kisutch (coho salmon)
Lineage: Eukaryota; Metazoa; Chordata; Actinopteri; Salmoniformes; Salmonidae
Description: lncRNA (ENSOKIG00005044545.1)
Source: RNAcentral
AUGGUAUUGGUUCACUCUGUUGGUAUUGAUGACUGGUAUAGGUCUCACUCUGAUGGUAUUGAUGGAUGGUAUAGGUCUCACUCUGAUGGUAUUGAUGGAUGGUAUAGGUCUCACUCUGAUGGUAUUGAUGGAUGGUAUUGGUUUCACUCUGUUGGUAUUGAUGGAUGGUAUUGGUUUCACUCUGAUGGUAUUGAUGGAUGGUAUUGGUUUCACUCUGAUGGUAUUGAUGGAUGGUAUUGGUUUCACUCUGAUGGUAUUGAUGGAUGGUAUUGGUUUCACUCUGUUGGUAUUGAUGGAUGGUAUUGGUUUCACUCUGAUGGUAUUGAUGGAUGGUAUUGGUUUCACUCUGUUGGUAUUGAUGGAUGGUAUUGGUUUCACUCUGUUGGUAUUGAUGACUGGUAUUGGUUUCACUCUGAUAGUAUUGAUGACUGGUAUUGGUUUCACUCUGAUGGUAUUGAUGACUGUUAUUGGUCUCACUCUGAUGGUAUUGAUGGAUGGUAUAGGUCUCACUCUGAUGGUAUUGAUGGAUGGUAUAGGUCUCACUCUGAUGGUAUUGAUGGGUGGUAUUGGUUUCACUCUGAUGGUAUUGAUGGAUGGUAUAGGUCUCACUCUGAUGGUAUUGAUGGAUGGUAUAGGUCUCACUCUGAUGGUAUUGAUGGAUGGUAUUGGUUUCACUCUGUUGGUAUUGAUGGAUGGUAUUGGUUUCACUCUGAUGGUAUUGAUGGAUGGUAUUGGUUUCACUCUGAUGGUAUUGAUGGAUGGUAUUGGUUUCACUCUGAUGGUAUUGAUGGAUGGUAUUGGUUUCACUCUGUUGGUAUUGAUGGAUGGUAUUGGUUUCACUCUGAUGGUAUUGAUGGAUGGUAUUGGUUUCACUCUGUUGGUAUUGAUGGAUGGUAUUGGUUUCACUCUGUUGGUAUUGAUGACUGGUAUUGGUUUCACUCUGAUAGUAUUGAUGACUGGUAUUGGUUUCACUCUGAUGGUAUUGAUGACUGUUAUUGGUCUCACUCUGAUGGUAUUGAUGGAUGGUAUAGGUCUCACUCUGAUGGUAUUGAUGGAUGGUAUAGGUCUCACUCUGAUGGUAUUGAUGGGUGGUAUUGGUUUCACUCUGAUGGUAUUGAUGGAUGGUAUAGGUCUCACUCUGAUGGUAUUGAUGGAUGGUAUUGGUUUCACUCUGAUGGUAUUGAUGAAUGGUAUUGGUUUCACUCUGAUGGUAUUGAUGGAUGGUAUUGGUUUCACUCUGAUGGUAUUGAUGGAUGGUAUUGGUUUCACUCUGAUGGUAUUGAUGGAUGGUAUUGGUUUCACUCUGUUGGUAUUGAUGGAUGGUAUUGGUUUCACUCUGUUGGUAUUGAUGGAUGGUAUUGGUUUCACUCUGUUGGUAUUGAUGACUGGUAUAGGUCUCACUCUGAUGGUAUUGAUGGAUGGUAUAGGUCUCACUCUGAUGGUAUUGAUGGAUGGUAUAGGUCUCACUCUGAUGGUAUUGAUGGAUGGUAUUGGUUUCACUCUGUUGGUAUUGAUGGAUGGUAUUGGUUUCACUCUGAUGGUAUUGAUGGAUGGUAUUGGUUUCACUCUGAUGGUAUUGAUGGAUGGUAUUGGUUUCACUCUGAUGGUAUUGAUGGAUGGUAUUGGUUUCACUCUGUUGGUAUUGAUGGAUGGUAUUGGUUUCACUCUGAUGGUAUUGAUGGAUGGUAUUGGUUUCACUCUGUUGGUAUUGAUGGAUGGUAUUGGUUUCACUCUGUUGGUAUUGAUGACUGGUAUUGGUUUCACUCUGAUAGUAUUGAUGACUGGUAUUGGUUUCACUCUGAUGGUAUUGAUGACUGUUAUUGGUCUCACUCUGAUGGUAUUGAUGGAUGGUAUAGGUCUCACUCUGAUGGUAUUGAUGGAUGGUAUAGGUCUCACUCUGAUGGUAUUGAUGGGUGGUAUUGGUUUCACUCUGAUGGUAUUGAUGGAUGGUAUAGGUCUCACUCUGAUGGUAUUGAUGGAUGGUAUUGGUUUCACUCUGAUGGUAUUGAUGGAUGGUAUUGGUUUCACUCUGAUGGUAUUGAUGGAUGGUAUUGGUUUCACUCUGAUGGUAUUGAUGGAUGGUAUUGGUUUCACUCUGUUGGUAUUGAUGGAUGGUAUUGGUUUCACUCUGAUGGUAUUGAUGGAUGGUAUUGGUUUCACUCUGUUGGUAUUGAUGGAUGGUAUUGGUUUCACUCUGAUGGUAUUGAUGGAUGGUAUUGGUUUCACUCUGUUGGUAUUGAUGGAUGGUAUUGGUUUCACUCUGUUGGUAUUGAUGACUGGUAUUGGUUUCACUCUGAUAGUAUUGAUGACUGGUAUUGGUUUCACUCUGAUGGUAUUGAUGACUGUUAUUGGUCUCACUCUGAUGGUAUUGAUGGAUGGUAUAGGUCUCACUCUGAUGGUAUUGAUGGAUGGUAUAGGUCUCACUCUGAUGGUAUUGAUGGGUGGUAUUGGUUUCACUCUGAUGGUAUUGAUGGAUGGUAUAGGUCUCACUCUGAUGGUAUUGAUGGAUGGUAUUGGUUUCACUCUGAUGGUAUUGAUGGAUGGUAUUGGUUUCACUCUGAUGGUAUUGAUGGAUGGUAUUGGUUUCACUCUGAUGGUAUUGAUGGAUGGUAUUGGUUUCACUCUGUUGGUAUUGAUGGAUGGUAUUGGUUUCACUCUGAUGGUAUUGAUGGAUGGUAUUGGUUUCACUCUGUUGGUAUUGAUGGAUGGUAUUGGUUUCACUCUGUUGGUAUUGAUGACUGGUAUAGGUCUCACUCUGAUGGUAUUGAUGGAUGGUAUAGGUCUCACUCUGAUGGUAUUGAUGGAUGGUAUAGUUCUCACUCUGAUGGUAUUGAUGGAUGGUAUUGGUCUCACUCUGAUGGUAUUGAUGGAUGGUAUAGGUCUCACUCUGAUGGUAUUGAUGGAUGGUAUUGGUUUCACUCUGUUGGUAUUGAUGGAUGGUAUUGGUUUCACUCUGCUGGUAUUGAUGACUGUUAUUGGUCUCUGAUGGUAUUGAUGGAUGGUGUAGGUCUCACUCUGAUGGUAUUGAUGGAUGGUGUAGGUCUCACUCUGAUGGUAUUGAUGGAUGGUGUAGGUCUCACUCUGAUGGUAUUGAUGGAUGGUAUAGAUCUCACACUGCUGGUAUUGAUGGCUAGUAUUGGUCUCACUCUGCUGGUAUUGAUGGCUGGUAAAGGUCUCACACUCUUCUGGUAUUGA